GCUCAUGUGAAUUUGUCUUUUUUUUCGCGGUUAAACUGAAUGUAUGUUUGUCUCCUAAAGGAAACGGCAUUGUGUAGUAAAGACUAGCAUAAUUAUUUUGAGGCUGUUGAAGUGGUAACUGUUAAAAGUAUGUUUUACAUGUAAUAUUUCAGACUUGUCGAGCUCCUGUCUUCAUUGUCCUCGCGCUGAGAGUUAAAGACACAGAAGCUGUUUGUGUGAGGAGUCACAGACCUGUGUGAGGAUGAGGAGGAGGUGUUCUUCUGAAGAGAGGGACAGACGGUUUAAGGCAAGUAAACUUCAGAAUUUCAUGUUAUCAGUUGUUGUUGUGUUUUACUAAGAGUAAAAUGUUUGUUUUUUGUUUUUGUAGAUGUUAAAAGCAAGAGACAUGGGAGAGCAUCAUUCCUUUGAGAUUUUAUAAAUCAAACCAACUUUGGAGUUGAUCAUUGAUGAGAUUUGGAGAGUCAUUAUUCUUGGUCUUCGCUCUUAGAGGCCACUGAUGAAGAACAGGCGGUGACUGGAUGAAUCCUGGUCAGAGAAGAGAAUCUUCUUUCCCCUAAACUGAUGCAGCGGUGGUUUUAAAGGAGGAUGCUGGCCUGGAUGAUGUAGAAGAUGUCACAUGCUGUGCUGAUGGGGUUUCUUCAUGAUUACGUCAGUUAUGCUAAAGAGAUCAUGAAAAUUGACCGUGAUGCAUGAUCUGUAUUCAUGGACUAUGAAACAAACUGUAAGUGUAUAAUUUGUUAAAAAAAAAAAAGUUAAAUGCUUUUUCUGUGUUGUUUAGUAGAAGAGUUUACACUCUGUCAUUCAUACACCUGCUCACAUUCUUUCACACACACACACACAUGCGUCUGUUAAAUGUUAUAAAAUCAAAGUUAAUGUUGUGAUUUAUUUGUGUACUGUCAUGCCAGAAUAGUUGGAAAAAAACUUAACUAAUUGUAAAUUUAUUGUAUUUGUUUUCGUAUAUUUUAAUACAAUAUAUACAAUUGAACAAAGUCCAAUUUGAUCUUAAGUUAUAUUCAUCAAAUGUUCAAUGCUUUGUUUAUGAACUCUGUAGCUGUUAAAGCCAUCCUUUUCUGCAUUUCUUCUAACAUGUUACUUUUUGACUUUUCUCGUUUUUAAUAAAUAUUUUCCUUUUGGUAAUUAUUAUUUGUGUGUAAAAGUGAUAUUUAAAAUGAACAACAUUUGUAGGUUUAAUGCCUAGC
Molecule: long non-coding RNA, 1199 nt
Organism: Carassius gibelio (silver crucian carp)
Lineage: Eukaryota; Metazoa; Chordata; Actinopteri; Cypriniformes; Cyprinidae
Exons: 3
Source: RefSeq, a predicted model, not a curated record